GAAUGUGAAGGAAAACUGACUGUGAUAUCUGUCAACACAUUGAUUUCUGGCAUUGCUACAGAUAGUCUGAGCUGAUCCCUGGUCUCCCUUAUCACUUCAUUUGUGUCCCUUCCAGAGCUAUGUGCUUAUUCAAAACAAAUGACCUUCUUAAAGAGGGUAUUUAAAAGGUGCAUUCCCUUUGCAUAAUUUCCAGGCAUGUCACACUUUAUUCAAAGGUAAAUCUGUAGAACAUAAAUCUGUAGAACAAAAAGACACAUUUUGGUUGACUGUUUCCAUUU
RNAcentral lists this small nuclear RNA (278 nucleotides) under Carlito syrichta (Philippine tarsier). Its description in RNAcentral is "7SK RNA (ENSTSYG00000024489.2)". It matches the Rfam family "7SK RNA". Rfam says of the family: 7SK was discovered as an abundant small nuclear RNA in the mid-70s but a possible function has only recently been suggested. The record is from Rfam by way of RNAcentral. Lineage: Eukaryota; Metazoa; Chordata; Mammalia; Primates; Tarsiidae.